AUUGAACGCUGGCGGCAGGCUUAACACAUGCAAGUCGAGCGGGGGAAGGUAGCUUGCUACCGGACCUAGCGGCGGACGGGUGAGUAAUGCUUAGGAAUCUGCCUAUUAGUGGGGGACAACAUCUCGAAAGGGAUGCUAAUACCGCAUACGUCCUACGGGAGAAAGCAGGGGAUCUUUGGACCCUGCGCUAAUAGAUGAGCCUAAGUCGGAUUAGCUAGUUGGUGGGGUAAAGGCCUACCAAGGCGGCGAUCUGUAGCGGGUCUGAGAGGAUGAGCCGCCACACUGGGACUGAGACACGGCCCAGACUCCUACGGGAGGCAGCAGUGGGGAAUAUUGGACAAUGGGGGGAACCCUGAUCCAGCCAUGCCGCGUGUGUGAAGAAGGCCUUAUGGUUGUAAAGCACUUUAAGCGAGGAGGAGGCUACUUUAGUUAAUACCUAGAGAUAGUGGACGUUACUCGCAGAAUAAGCACCGGCUAACUCUGUGCCAGCCGCCGCCGUAA
This 501-nucleotide ribosomal RNA is filed under the name uncultured bacterium. RNAcentral's name for it is "partial 16S ribosomal RNA". It matches the Rfam family "Bacterial small subunit ribosomal RNA", at positions 30 to 523 of the family's 1533-position model. The record is from RNAcentral.